UGUUCUUUGNAUAUAAGGUNAGGGAUANGGCCUGCCCAGUGAGAUGACUUAAACGGCCGCGAUAUUUUAAUCGUGCUAAGGUAGCAUAAUCAAUUGUCUAUUAAUUGUAGACUGGAAUGAAUGGUUGGACUAGAAAUCAAUUGUUUUAAAUUUAAGGUAAAAUUUUUAUUUUCAUGAAGAAAUGGAAGUGNGGUAAAAAGACGAGAAGACCCUAUUGAGCUUAAUAUUAAAUAAAAGGGAGANGNGUAGGAGAUGUAACUUUUGNUAAGUAUUUAACUGGGGCGGUGAAGCUUAAAUUUAAACAGGCUAGGAAAAAUUUACUUAAUGAGUAAGUAAGGAUCCACAAGAAGUGAUUAAAAGGCUAAGUUACCAUAGGGAUAACAGCGUAAUUUUAUUUUGAAGUUCAAAUUUAUGNUAAAGUUUGCGACCUCGAUGUUGGUUUAGGUUACCUAAUUAGUGCAUCAGCUAAUAGAGGCAGUCUGUUCGACUGUUAAAUACUUAUA
Molecule: ribosomal RNA, 503 nt
Filed under: Newportia pusilla
Lineage: Eukaryota; Metazoa; Arthropoda; Chilopoda; Scolopendromorpha; Scolopocryptopidae
Description: partial small subunit ribosomal RNA
Rfam family: Bacterial large subunit ribosomal RNA
Source: RNAcentral